AGAGUUUGAUCAUGGCUCAGGACGAACGCUGGCGGCGUGCCUAAUACAUGCAAGUCGAGCGAAUUGAUGGGAGCUUGCUCCCUGAUAUUAGCGGCGGACGGGUGAGUAACACGUGGGUAACCUGCCUGUAAGAUUGGGAUAACUCCGGGAAACCGGAGCUAAUACCGGAUAACAUUUUGAACCGCAUGGUUCAAAAUUGAAAGAUGGUUUCGGCUAUCACUUACAGAUGGACCCGCGGCGCAUUAGCUAGUUGGUGAGGUAACGGCUCACCAAGGCAACGAUGCGUAGCCGACCUGAGAGGGUGAUCGGCCACACUGGGACUGAGACACGGCCCAGACUCCUACGGGAGGCAGCAGUAGGGAAUCUUCCGCAAUGGACGAAAGUCUGACGGAGCAACGCCGCGUGAACGAUGAAGGCCUUCGGGUCGUAAAGUUCUGUUGUUAGGGAAGAACAAGUACCAGAGUAACUGCUGGUACCUGACGGUACCUAACCAGAAAGCCACGGCUAACUACGUGCCAGCAGCCGCGGUA
This 530-nucleotide ribosomal RNA is filed under the name uncultured Bacillota bacterium. RNAcentral describes it as "bacterial SSU rRNA". It matches the Rfam family "Bacterial small subunit ribosomal RNA", at positions 8 to 522 of the family's 1533-position model. Lineage: Bacteria; Bacillati; Bacillota. The record is from RNAcentral.